RNAcentral lists this ribosomal RNA (433 nucleotides) under uncultured bacterium. Its description in RNAcentral is "bacterial SSU rRNA". It matches the Rfam family "Bacterial small subunit ribosomal RNA", at positions 355 to 806 of the family's 1533-position model. The record is from RNAcentral.
UGGGGAAUCUUGCACAAUGGGCGAAAGCCUGAUGCAGCAACGCCGCGUGCGGGAAGACAGCCCUAGGGUUGUAAACCGCUUUCAGCAGGGAAGAAACUGACGGUACCUGCAGAAGAAGAUGCGGCCAACUACGUGCCAGCAGCCGCGGUGACACGUAGGCAUCAAGCGUUAUCCGGAUUUAUUGGGCGUAAAGAGCUCGUAGGCGGUCCGUUGCGUCUGCCGUGAAAACCCGGAGCUCAACUCCGGGCCUGCGGUGGAUACGGGCGGACUAGAGUCCGGUAGGGGAGACUGGAAUUCCUGGUGUAGCGGUGGAAUGCGCAGAUAUCAGGAGGAACACCGGUGGCGAAGGCGGGUCUCUGGGCCGGAACUGACGCUGAGGAGCGAAAGCGUGGGGAGCGACAGGAUUAGAUACCCUGGUAGUCCACGCCGUAAA